UAAUAUAUAUGUAUAAUCAAUUCCACAAUGUAUAACAUAACAAGUAUAAUCAAUUAUCCAGUUUAGGCUUCCAGACUUAUGACCCUGUGAGAGACUGCAUACAGCUCAGCUCUAGUGGCCUACAAAUACUCCAAGUCUCAUGUUUUAUCAUCCAGUCAUCACACAUUCCUUUAGCAGAAUGGACCACAUUUCCCAGCCUUCCUUUAAAUAAGAUUUAUUUUUAUUUUAUAUGUAUGGAUGUUUUGCCACCUGUAUGCCUGUAUACCACAUGCCUGCAGUGCCAGAAGAUGCCAGAAGAGGACAUCGAAUCCCAGGAAAUUGGAGUUACAGACAGUUUUAAAUGUAAGCUCUACAAAAUGCACAGUCUUGAAUCUAAGAAGAGCUUUGGCAUUGUCAUGGGAAGGUCUCCAGUUUCCUCAGCACUCAACUCUGGCAGUUGCCUCAGUCCUCAUGCUCCAGUAAAUGAAGAAUUCAGACAGAAAACAGCAAUUGAUCAAGUAGUCAAUAUUUGUUAGAGCAAAUUAGAAUGCACUCAGGAGGAGUGGGUUGCUGGGUAUUGCCAGCAGCCUCGAGCCUGGAAGGCACAGGGCUAUGUCUCUCUUGUCCCUCUGUCCCUUCCCUGUGCUACCUUCAGGGUGAACCAUUCUCAGUGAAGGGAUGCAGUUUUCCCAGAAGCCCGUUUUGCCCAGGGAUUAGUAAGUUAUAAAUAGAUAAAUAAGAUUGAAGAAUAUGCAUCAGGGUCAAAUUACCCACCAAAUUAAAAAGUUUACUAGGAGAAAGGUAACAACACUCUCAUAAUGUUCCCUAAGAAAGGACAUUUUGAAGCCAUUUUGAUCCAGCCUAGCUAGCAUCCACCACUAUCACCCAUUUUUCUUUCCAUCUUGUUUUGGGGGUUGCUGGGUAGCCUGUCUGGAGUUGACCACUGCCACUGUCUUUAUAUCCUGACCACCAGAUGACCACCACCAUUAUCAAUAUCAAUGUGAACCUAAGUGUCUUUAAUUCUUCCACUCAAUUUCAGGAAAAUGCCUAGAGAAAUUCUCCAGUUUACAAGAGGAGGCAAAUUAAAUGUGAUCUAAAACUCA
Non-coding RNA from Cricetulus griseus (Chinese hamster), 1082 nucleotides. The record is from RefSeq and is a predicted model, not a curated record. Lineage: Eukaryota; Metazoa; Chordata; Mammalia; Rodentia; Cricetidae.